CCGGUAGGAGCCUCUGGAAAAGGGCAAAGCCCCGGCGGGGUUUUUGAACCCAGUCUGCUGGCCCCUGCGGGCAUAUAGAAGGGCACUAGUUGACUCUGGGUACCGUAGUCCCUGUAAUAGGGCUGCAGCUCAACAGUGAGUUUUAACUGUGAUGAGGGAAGCUGAUUAAGCCCUCCAAGGGGGCUCGUCGAAAGCCAAGAAGGGGUUUCGACCCCUUGGAGGGCAAGUGGGUAUUGGAAGACGGCUGCAGACGGCUGGAGCAGCUGCUCCGAUCAAGGGAGCCCUCUUGAUCGUAAUGCUUGUUUUGAUUUUCAUCUUUCUUUUGUGGAUCAUCUGAGGGACGGGUGGAUCCAUGGGCGGACCAGAUAGUCGGCUACCAUCCUGGUGGAACGGGUGAGGGUGUAGGGGUGGCGGAGCCCUCAGAAACUUCAGGACCCACGCGAGGCCAGUGAGACUCAUAAUUGGACUGCGCGUGUCAGACAACUGAACCAACUCCGUUAAUAUCAAAGUCGUGGCAGGUGAAGGAGACGCGUGUGACACCCCAAUCAAAGAAAUGCUGCCCAACCUGUUCCUGGAUUUACGAACUAGUUACACUCCCAGUAGCAGGCUCCUACUUGCUUCACAGUUGGCAGAUGGGAAGUUUGGAAGUACAUGCCUGAGAAGUGUUUGAGAAGCUGAGGCACAGGACAUCAGGAUUUCCUCAAAACAAGGGCCCUACCUCUUCAAUUGCAUCUGUGAUCAAUGAUGAAUCCAAACAUCCCAGGCAAAGCUCUUUCUUUUGGAGAACUUCAUGUGAACUUGACUGGAGGAUGGAAGACAAACCCAAUCAGACCCAAGGGCUUCCCAGAAAGCAAUGGACUUUGUCAGAUUCCUGAGUUCAUUCCUCCACUGUGGUAGUAGCCCAGGCCUCCUUGUUCCUCAGCCAUCAGAAGGAAAGACUGUAAAAAGCAACUGAGAUGUUAUAAUCCUUGCCCACUGUGCUUGAUAGAGUCAGGGAGAUAUGGUCCCCAAGUAACUGCCACCAUACCGUAAGAUGGACUUCUCCGAUAGAGGCUCUAGAGACAGUUUUGUCUCCUGACGGGACAGACUGCCGAGACACUAAUGAGCAGCAUCCUUGUGGUGUCCUGUCUGACUUGUCCCUUCAUCUCAAAACUGCAUGUGCUUUGUGGAGCAUGAACCAAUAACAGGUUUCCAAAGUGUUCAUCUAACAUUAAGACCAAAGUCAUUCUGCCUUACAGACCUCAUGUAGGUCACCAGAUCUGACGGAGGUGGGGGUGGGGGUGGAGGGAGCAGGAUAUAUUCCCUCCACAGCGUAACAAAGCACCCUGCCGCUAUGAUGUAGACACACCCUGAAUGAUCAGAAGUGGAAUAUGUCUGGACAGUCACUUGAAGAAAGGACAACAAUGCACUAACGGUGAUUCUUCAAGAUACGCUGUCCCAUCUAUUUUACAUCCUGCUUUCCUGUUAGCCCAGGGUUCCUGGCUCCCUGCAUUCUUUUUAACAUGAGAAAUGAACAGUGAUUGCAGAUAUCUCGCCCUUUUUGCCCUUGGCUACAAGGUGCUGGAGGUCAGACCUAGCUCCAAUGACUUCUGCUAUUCAAGAAGAUUAUGACUUGAUUGCAUGGGGACACGUGCAUCAGAAGUGAACAUGUGGGCAGCACAUCUUACAGAGCCACAGUCUUGAUAGGGUAAUACAUUAGGAUGUUUUGGUCAGUACACAACCAGCUUU
RNAcentral lists this long non-coding RNA (1728 nucleotides) under Crocodylus porosus (Australian saltwater crocodile). RNAcentral describes it as "lncRNA (ENSCPRG00005008326.1)". Lineage: Eukaryota; Metazoa; Chordata; Crocodylia; Crocodylidae. The record is from RNAcentral.